AAUCCAAUUUGGGAAUUUAUUUGGAAACCGCCCUGCCCUGCAAAGGUGAGAAUUUUCCUAUGGAGAACACUACAAGGCACCCUGCCCUGCCGUGUCAACCUCGCGGAUAGGCAUCUAAAAUUUACCACAAAAUGUUUGGCAUGUGAAAAUGCGGAAAGUGUGAAGCAUAUGUUGUUCCAAUGCAACAAAGCAAAAUAACUAUGGAGGAAGUUGGGUUUGGAUAGCAUCAUUCAGAGAGGAUGUAUGGUCAAUCGAGCGGGAGAAGCGGUCUUGGAACAUCUCCUAUCUCUUCCCAUGGACGAGACCAUAAUCAUUGGUCAGAGGAAUGGCAACUUGAUCAUAGCUAUCACCUGCUGGUUUCGGUGGUGGGAGAGAAGGAAAUUGGUGCAUGGCGAGCAGACUCAACAACUAUCCCAGAUUGUUAUGUCAGUAUGA
RNAcentral lists this ribosomal RNA (435 nucleotides) under Triticum aestivum (bread wheat). Its description in RNAcentral is "partial small subunit ribosomal RNA". The record is from RNAcentral. Lineage: Eukaryota; Viridiplantae; Streptophyta; Magnoliopsida; Poales; Poaceae.